RNAcentral lists this ribosomal RNA (125 nucleotides) under Psychrobacillus psychrotolerans. RNAcentral's name for it is "partial 16S ribosomal RNA". It matches the Rfam family "Bacterial small subunit ribosomal RNA", at positions 1 to 120 of the family's 1533-position model. The record is from RNAcentral. RNAcentral also lists the same sequence under 1 other name. Lineage: Bacteria; Bacillati; Bacillota; Bacilli; Caryophanales; Bacillaceae.
AUUAUGGAGAGUUUGAUCCUGGCUCAGGACGAACGCUGGCGGCAUGCCUAAUACAUGCAAGUCGAGCGAAUGACGAAGAAGCUUGCUUCUUCUGAUUUAGCGGCGGACGGGUGAGUAACACGUGG